AGACUUCAAAAUGACCUCUCGACUCUGAUAAAUGUGGGCAAGAAUGUAGUAGAACCAAUUGUCAGUAGCAUUGUCUACCAAAGGUUUGGGACAGAGGUUUCAAAGUCAAAUGUCUUCAGGGUCCAGGGCUUUGCCACCUGCAUAACAUCUGGUUUGAACUAGGAGUUCUAUGCCCUAGCCCCACUCUCAUCAACUCUCCCACAAAAUUAUCCUUUGAACAAGAGCUUGCCACCCCAUCACAACCAGCAGAGCGGAAGUCCACUGUACAAAGACACCCAGUAAAAGACAAAGACCUCUGAGUGGACAGCACUGGCUACCAGUUAAUGGGCUUCUUAGGAAAAGGAAGUAAAGACUGAUGUAAGACUGUGAGAGUGGCUAAAUGGGUGAAGGACGGCUCUCCCUACCUUUCUCAUUGUGUGAUAUUGAAGGACCCCACAAAGAGAGCUUCUACCUCAAGAAGUCUGAUGUCUGCAUAGGGGAGACAUGC
Molecule: long non-coding RNA, 487 nt
Organism: Heterocephalus glaber (naked mole-rat)
Lineage: Eukaryota; Metazoa; Chordata; Mammalia; Rodentia; Bathyergidae
Source: Ensembl